UCAAAAUUAAUAACAAUUUCAGAUGAAAUUAUUAUCAAUGAUACUUCAAGUCAGUUUGUCAUCACAGGCUAAAAAAAAAAAAAAAUGAAUAGGUAUAUGAAGCUAUUCUUUUCUGUUUGAAUAUGGGUGAAAAUCAAUUUUUUACAUUUUGUUGAAAGUGUAGAAUUGAGAUAUAUUUAAAAGAGAAAAGUAAAAUAUAAGUUUUAUUUGCAUGACACGAUCUGAGCAUCUACGUAGUCGACUAAGCUACCAAGCUUUCAGGCUCUAUGACACAUCUGUUAGGCUUUCACACGCAUACAGAUGCUGGCACAGCACACGGACACAUGUCUUAGAGGCCAGACAUCUGGGGACCAGCUUCUGUUUUAUCCUUACUUAAUGCCUGCCCUGUAUUCUGGCUAUUUAUGUUUGUAUCUUUGCGUUGAGUCAUACCAUGAGCUUUCAUGUCAGGGAAAUGCAACUAAAAGCUUUUUUCAAACGGUGCACAAAUUUUUUGGUUCAUUAAACGUUCAUCUCAAGCGUCGAAAUAAUCGUCCAAUCAUAGUUCACAUUUUUGUAGCACAUCGAAGUAUUCUGAGUUUGGUUUCAAAUCGCAUUUUUGUUCAAUAUUGGUAUAAAGAAUCUGAACCGGAUUUUUUCGGCAAGAAUCAUUUACGUUUUCACUUUGAGAUAUUCAUCAACAUCUUUAUGGGGCAUCAUAUUUUCAAGUCAAACACGAACUACGCUGAGAGGAUUGACUCGAAUAUCUAUCUGAGUCAUUAUCUAUCACUCCUGGCACGUCAUUAUAAAACGUGUUGAAUUGGGUUAUUAGACAAUACUAUUUUGCAUGAUAUGACACUGACAAACUCUAAUGUAAAGCACGCAAAGGUAGGACACAUGGAAACAUUAUUGACGAUAUUGUGGGAACUCUGAUAACAUCAUUCCAUAUUUCCAAAAGAAUCAACAAAAAUCUGGUUGGAUAUGUGAAAAAUUUGAAAUAGUUUACCUUGAGCAGUUUUGUUUGUCUUUGGAACCAUCUUGUCUAAGCCAGCCAUGUUUCGAAUCUCCCACGAAGAGUCAUUCGAACUCAUCUCCCAAGCAUUCUGAAAAGAGGCGAAUAUCAUCUACUGGAGCGGUCGAUUUCUUUGAACAACAGGUAUACCCCUAGGUGGUCUUUGUGGUGUGACUUCUGUCUUUCCACUGAUUUGUGAAGUAGGCCUAGGAUUAUUCUGAAGACCAAGAAAUGGAGUUCCAGCUUGAUUCAGUCUAGGUGUGAGGUACCCUGUAUUAAAAUCAGUCUGUGGUACCUGGGAUUCUAAUGAGUCUACGUCAGGAUGUGAAAACUGAAUUUCGGACAUUAUUUGACUGUCCAUAGGGAGUAUCAUCACAACCGUCAUCCUCGUCCACCUCACUGCCUAGAAAAUGAAGAGAUAUAAUGUCAAUGAUGCCAGAAUAAGAUGUCUUUUUUUAUCAUGUUAUUAGUUUGGUAAAAUUAAAAAAUUCUCGGAAACCAGAAAUGUGAAUUGAGAUUUAUGGAUGAAUCUAAAGUACCAAACAGAAACUAUUGAAGUGUCAUUGAACUUUCGUGCAAUGCCAGGUAGGACCAGAAGAAAGUGAUGGACUUACUUAACGUGUAUUCUACAGGAUCCAAUCGACCACUGAAGAACUCCGAUAAAGAGGUCAUUAUCCUAACUACCUCAUCCAUCGAUGGCCUUUCUUCAGGAAUCUUCUUCCAACACCUGAAUGUAAAAAUGUACAGUUCAAGUCAAGUGAGAGGGCUAAAUAUCAAAGAAUAUAAAUUUGGUGAACAAAGAGUGACUUUGAGGCAUGAAACUUAUUCAAAUAAUAUGCAAGAAAUAAUUUCCUGGAUCUUCGAUAAUUUGAGAAACAGAUGUCUUCUAUUGGUUUUGGGCAUCCCUCCAUCAAUGGAGGCCUCUGUCCUAUGUGUACAGCCCACAUGAUUCUGUAUGCAGAUCCACCGAUGUCGUCAAAGGGUUUUCUCCGUGAUAAAACUUCCCAUAAGAUAACACCCCAAC
Molecule: long non-coding RNA, 2012 nt
Organism: Athalia rosae (coleseed sawfly)
Lineage: Eukaryota; Metazoa; Arthropoda; Insecta; Hymenoptera; Athaliidae
Exons: 5
Source: RefSeq, a predicted model, not a curated record